GUUUUAAAGAGCCAAGGGAACGUUGGCAUACAACCAAAUAACACCUCAGUGAAUCCGAGAGCCAGUUUUAAGGUUUGCAAGUCCACCAUGGUCAGGCAGAAAGGAUGCUGAACCCCCAAAAAGUGCAACUAUAAUGUGACUAAUAUCGGUUCACCCUCACUGAGCUGACCUGCAUGGCAGCAUGCUGACCUCAUAUGAAACAGAAAAAAUGAAACCCAGUAUAAAAAAUGAUGCUCCGUUCUCCUGCCAGAUUACACCGAGGAAGUCUUGGUGGAGGACUUUAAGAUCACUGCAGAGAAGAGUGGGAGUGGAGGUGUAGGUGGAGAAUGCAGUAAUGUAGGUGAAGCUUAUAUUAAUGCCAGCACUAGUUCUGUGGAUGGUCUGGUUCAGCCCGUCAGCAUGAUGACAAAGAAGGCCAAUGUUAAAACUGUGGUGAGCAGAUUCAAGGGCAGGUACGUCUGUCUCUUUGCUUAUUUAUUUAUUUAUUUAUUUAUUUAUUUAUUUAUGUAUUUUCAAAAUAAAAGCCAACCUUUUCCUAUCUGUUGGUUCCUUCUGAUUCCAGGAAAAUACAUAAGGACAGCUUGGACGUGCUGGGAUUGAAAGAGAAGGAUAAACUGAUGUUUGUUUCUCAAAUAGUUUACAACUCCAGCCCUGUCAAAGUUAUUAGAAAGUCUACGACUGAUGGCUCCAUUUUCACUUCUUAUGUAAAGAUGCUGAGUGUCUUUGCAAAGGGGAGCAGUAAGGUGGAGACAAGCUUCACUGUGCCAGCAAAAUCCAUCUUUGCUUACGGCCUGGUGGAGAUAAAGAUUGAGGAUGAGAAGCUGAAGAUCUCAUGUGAGCCGUGGACUCGUAGCUUACUCGAUUGGCUCCUUGGUGACGACGUAAGCAAUCCAACUGUGCAAAAAGUAAAAGAAGAACUGGAAAUGAAGGAAGCUCUUCUGCAGCCGCUGGCAGAUCUUCCUGAGUCGACUCGUUGUGAUCUGCUGCAAACACUCAGCGAGCUCGUAGAGGAUGGAGACAAUCUCUCUCUGCUGGAUAAAACAUCCUCUGCUCCUCUCAGCUGGAUCACUGCAGUAAUGGAGUGUUUGAGUGUGUUCAGUCUGAGGCUGUCUCUUCCUUCAUGGACCUUCUCAUUGUCUCAAACAUCUCCACAAGUGAGCAGGAUGCUGUUCACAUGUUGGUCAGCGCCCUGCACAGUUUGUGCAGCUCUGCCAGACGAAGUGCCGCCACUUCUGACUCGCUGCAGUCCAGAUACUCUGAGAGUCCUCGACCAGCUGGUGGAUGGGCUGAAGGAUGGUCGGGCCAACCUCCCAGAGUCCCUGCCCGUCCCCCUGCAGGAGGGAGGGGAGCUCCGCUGGGUGGCCGAGUUCAUCUGUUUGAACGAUCAGAAGCUGAAAGAGUUGAGUGACGGCUGGGACCGACCCGAGCUGCCCCCAGAGGUUCUGCUGGAGGUUCUGUGCCUCGCUGUGCAGGGACUCAGCCUGAUGCAGCCCACAACAAACCCUUAA
Molecule: long non-coding RNA, 1508 nt
Filed under: Oreochromis niloticus (Nile tilapia)
Lineage: Eukaryota; Metazoa; Chordata; Actinopteri; Cichliformes; Cichlidae
Description: lncRNA (ENSONIG00000027991.1)
Source: RNAcentral